This 767-nucleotide non-coding RNA is filed under the name Morophaga formosana. The record is from RNAcentral. Lineage: Eukaryota; Metazoa; Arthropoda; Insecta; Lepidoptera; Tineidae.
AAAAAAUUUUAUAAUUUAAAAAAUUUAUUAAAAAUUUAUUUUAUAUAUAAAUUUUUGUAUUAAAGUUUAUAUAUUUUAAAAAUAUUUAUAAAAAUUUAUUUAGUAAUUAAUAUUAAAAAUAUAAUAACUUAUUAUUUAGUAAUAUUUAAAUUAUAAACAAAUUUUGUGCCAGCAGUUGCGGUUAUACAAAAUAUAAAUUAAAUUUUAUUAGUAAUAAUUAAUAAAAAUUUAAUAAAUUAAAUUAUGAAUUAUUAAGUGAAAUUUUAAUUCAUUUAAAUUUUAUAUUAAAAUUAUGAAUUUAAUAAGUUAAAAUUAUAAACUAGGAUUAGAUACCCUAUUAUUAUUAAUUAAAAUUAAAUACUAGAUUAAUAAUUAAUUAUUUAUUGAAAUUUAAAUAAUUUGGCGGUAUUUUAGUUAAUUUAGAGGAAUUUGUUUAAUAAUUGAUAAUACACGAAUAAAUUUACUUUUUUUUAGUUUGUAUAUCGUUGUUUUAAAAAUGUUUUUAAUUAAUUUUAAUAUUUUAAAAUUUAUAUAAUAAAUUAAUUCAAAUCAUGAUGCAGCUUAUAAAAAAGAAUAUAUGAAUUACAAUAAAUUUAUUUUUGGAUAAAAGUUUGAAAUAAUAAUUGAAAUUGGAUUUAAAUGUAAUUUUAAUUAUUUUAUUAAAAUGAUUUUAAAUUAAAAUAUGUACAUAUUGCCCGUCACUUUCAUUGUUAAUUUGAAAUAAGUCGUAACAAAGUAGAAUUACUGGAAAGUAAUUCUAGAACGAA